UGUUAAAAAUUUCAUCAAUUUGUACGAUUAAAAACCAGCGUGAAUAAUGAAAAAACUAAACAGUGACAUGUGGCAUGUCAUGAUACCUCAUGCCGACAUAUAAAGACCAAUUUUUAAUAGUAGAAUUGAAUAGAAUUUUUAACA
Molecule: non-coding RNA, 144 nt
Organism: Gossypium hirsutum (cotton)
Lineage: Eukaryota; Viridiplantae; Streptophyta; Magnoliopsida; Malvales; Malvaceae
Source: Rfam